GGGCGGUUAGCUCAGCGGUAGAGCACUGCUUUCACACGGCAGGGGUCACUGGUUCGAUCCCAGUACCGCCCACCA
RNAcentral lists this transfer RNA (75 nucleotides) under Burkholderiales bacterium. RNAcentral describes it as "tRNA-Val". It matches the Rfam family "tRNA". Rfam says of the family: Transfer RNA (tRNA) molecules are approximately 80 nucleotides in length. Their secondary structure includes four short double-helical elements and three loops (D, anti-codon, and T loops). Further hydrogen bonds mediate the characteristic L-shaped molecular structure. tRNAs have two regions of fundamental functional importance: the anti-codon, which is responsible for specific mRNA codon recognition, and the 3' end, to which the tRNAs corresponding amino acid is attached (by aminoacyl-tRNA synthetases). tRNAs cope with the degeneracy of the genetic code in two manners: having more than one tRNA (with a specific anti-codon) for a particular amino acid; and 'wobble' base-pairing, i.e. permitting non-standard base-pairing at the 3rd anti-codon position. The record is from RNAcentral. Lineage: Bacteria; Pseudomonadati; Pseudomonadota; Betaproteobacteria; Burkholderiales. RNAcentral also lists the same sequence under 9 other names.